This 505-nucleotide ribosomal RNA is filed under the name uncultured Microbacterium sp. RNAcentral describes it as "bacterial SSU rRNA". It matches the Rfam family "Bacterial small subunit ribosomal RNA", at positions 903 to 1382 of the family's 1533-position model. Lineage: Bacteria; Bacillati; Actinomycetota; Actinomycetes; Micrococcales; Microbacteriaceae. The record is from RNAcentral.
UUGCCACGCCCGCUCAAGAAACUACAAAGGAAGUUCGACGGGGGCCCGCGCAAGCGGUGGAGCAUGUGGUUUAAUUCGAUGCAACGCGAAGAACCUUACCAAGGCUUGACAUAUAGAGGAAACGUCUGGAAACAGUCGCCCCGCAAGGUCUCUAUACAGGUGGUGCAUGGUUGUCGUCAGCUCGUGUCGUGAGAUGUUGGGUUAAGUCCCGCAACGAGCGCAACCCUCGUUCUAUGUUGCCAGCACGUAAUGGUGGGAACUCAUGGGAUACUGCCGGGGUCAACUCGGAGGAAGGUGGGGAUGACGUCAAAUCAUCAUGCCCCUUAUGUCUUGGGCUUCACGCAUGCUACAAUGGCCGGUACAAAGGGCUGCAAUACCGUAAGGUGGAGCGAAUCCCAAAAAGCCGGUCCCAGUUCGGAUUGAGGUCUGCAACUCGACCUCAUGAAGUCGGAGUCGCUAGUAAUCGCAGAUCAGCAACGCUGCGGUGAAUACGUUCCCGGGUCUU